RNAcentral lists this long non-coding RNA (457 nucleotides) under Mytilus galloprovincialis (Mediterranean mussel). Lineage: Eukaryota; Metazoa; Mollusca; Bivalvia; Mytilida; Mytilidae. The record is from RNAcentral.
GUUUCAAUGUACAGAUGUCUGAAUGUACAUCGGUACAUUCCAAAUUGGUUUCUGUUCUCAAAACUUAUGUUUGCCUCAACCAAAUAUUAUGAAUCUUAUGCACAAUGCUGAUUACCACAAAGCACAUAUCAAAUUUGAAUAUGGUUGACUGCACUUUGACUUUUCUAGAGUUAUGCCCUUUUACAAAUUGAAAAAUUGCUGAUUUUUUCUUUUCCCUUAGCUUACUUAUAUUUGCCUCAACCAAACGUUAUGAAACAGAAUGCUAAUUACCACCAAACUUAGAUCAAAUGUGAAUUUGGGUAGCUUCACUUUUAUCGUUCUUGUUCUCAUCUUUGCCCCAUGGACAUGAUGGACACAUCCCCAAUUAUUUAUUGUUCAAAACAGACAAACAGAUAAGUAUCACACGGACUACCUGGCUUGUGAUAUCUUUUGAAGUUUUCAAGUGAACCACCAGUCA